CAGCAGCCGCGGUAAUACGGAGGAUCCGAGCGUUAUCCGGAUUUAUUGGGUUUAAAGGGAGCGUAGGCGGACGCUUAAGUCAGUUGUGAAAGUUUGCGGCUCAACCGUAAAAUUGCAGUUGAUACUGGGUGUCUUGAGUACAGUAGAGGCAGGCGGAAUUCGUGGUGUAGCGGUGAAAUGCUUAGAUAUCACGAAGAACUCCGAUUGCGAAGGCAGCCUGCUGGACUGUAACUGACGCUGAUGCUCGAAAGUGUGGGUAUCAAACAGGAUUAGAUACCCUGGUAGUCCACACAGUAAACGAUGAAUACUCGCUGUUUGCGAUAUACAGCAAGCGGCCAAGCGAAAGCGUUAAGUAUUCCACCUGGGGAGU
RNAcentral lists this ribosomal RNA (370 nucleotides) under uncultured bacterium. RNAcentral describes it as "bacterial SSU rRNA". It matches the Rfam family "Bacterial small subunit ribosomal RNA", at positions 509 to 881 of the family's 1533-position model. The record is from RNAcentral.